CCUACGGGAUGCAGCAGUGGGGAAUAUUGGACAAUGGGGGGAACCCUGAUCCAGCGACGCCGCGCGAGUGAAGAAGUAUUUCGGUAUGUAAAGCUCUAUCAGCAGGGAAGAAAGAAAUGACGGUACCUGACUAAGAAGCCCCGGCUAACUACGUGCCAGCAGCCGCGGUCAUACGUAGGGGGCAAGCGUUAUCCGGAUUUACUGGGUGUAAAGGGAGCGUAGACGGCAGUGCAAGUCUGGAGUGAAAGGCGGGGGCUCAACCCCCGGACUGCUCUGGAAACUGUACGGCUGGAGUGCAGGAGAGGUAAGUGGAAUUCCUAGUGUAGCGGUGAAAUGCGUAGAUAGUAGGAGGAACACCAGUGGCGAAGGCGGCUUACUGGACUGUAACUGACGUUGAGGCUCGAAAGCGUGGGGAGCAAACAGGAUUAGAUACCCGUGUAGUC
This 443-nucleotide ribosomal RNA is filed under the name uncultured bacterium. RNAcentral's name for it is "partial 16S ribosomal RNA". It matches the Rfam family "Bacterial small subunit ribosomal RNA", at positions 338 to 795 of the family's 1533-position model. The record is from RNAcentral.